GCAUACUGACAGCUUCCAAUCUUUUGUUCUAAAAGGAAGUUGGUUCAACUAUUGAAAAAAAUAGCUGCAUUUGUCUAAUUGAAUCAGCCCCCAUUAUGCGAUAAAUUCUGCUGCUUUUGUUUUGGCUCUGAAUAUACGAGAGUAAGUGAAAAGCAACUUGAAAUAAGUAUGAACGACCAAUGUGUUGUUUUAAAGGGGAAUGAGUAAGAUGCAGGGGUCCGUACGUUGCCUCUGAAGCUGGUAGCAGAAGGAUUAAGGGUACAUGAGUCUUUUUUAUACUUGAAUCCCCAUGUUCAGUCAUGUUACUUGAUUUGAUGGGUUGUGGAUGGAUGGCAGAUGAACUGGGAGAUGUGCUGCUUUAUAAUUAGUAAUCCACACAAAGCAUGCCGGGGAUCAGCACGGAGUAGCUGUGCUUACUUGAAAUCAAAGCAUUCUAUACUCAUUUUAAUGCACCUCACAGUACAGGAAAAGGCUUAGUAUGAGAGCAUAAAAACCCGUGGAGUUUAGGGUGGGGAAGGUGGCCUCAGAAUAUCUUGCUGGAAGUAAGGCUGCUGCUAGCAAAUCUAUAGCAAUGCAGACACCUCAGCCAGCUCUUCAACCAGUUGGAAAGAGCAAGACUAAGGAGUGCAUGCCAGUUCAGGAUGCCUUGAUUUGCUUUUCUUUCUAGAGCUUAAGAGCAGCUUUUUAAAGAAAUUGUUCUUUUGUGCUAUAUAAAGCCAUGCUUGUUUGUUUUUCCUUAUUUUUAAAAAGGGGAGGGGCGGAGGAGGGCAGUGAGUGACUAUACUAGGUGUCACUGACCUGGCUUCGACAUCUCUUCCUACUCGGCCAAAUUCUGCACUGUUUCUAAAGAUCACCUUUUGCAGACGGGCCUGAAAGAGCAUUAUUUUUGUGAUGGAGUAGAUCUUGAAACUCAAAGCAGUCAUUCUUGAAGUGUUUAUGGCUAUCUAUUAACUGACAUUCAGCAGUCAAUAAAAUUAGAAGCUAAAUACA
This is a long non-coding RNA of Oxyura jamaicensis (ruddy duck), 990 nucleotides long. RefSeq lists it as uncharacterized. The record is from RefSeq and is a predicted model, not a curated record. Lineage: Eukaryota; Metazoa; Chordata; Aves; Anseriformes; Anatidae. The transcript is spliced from 2 exons.